Molecule: long non-coding RNA, 1406 nt
Filed under: Lathyrus oleraceus (garden pea)
Lineage: Eukaryota; Viridiplantae; Streptophyta; Magnoliopsida; Fabales; Fabaceae
Description: Pisum sativum (pea) long non-coding RNA (PSAT_LNC030155)
Source: RNAcentral
UAAUUUAGGGUAAAAUUUGCCCAUUUCUGUAAUAUUUUAAAAAAAAUGGUUAAUUUUGAUUUUUUUUUAAAAAUUCUGGAUAUUUAAAAAAAAAAUUCACGAAAUGAAUCGUGAUCUCUCACGAGCUUCAAUCAGAACUCAGAAUCCGAUCCUCUCACAGAGGAAUCCCGAAUCUAAAACUGACUCGACAAUGACGACGCACAGUGAAUCGAUGGAUUACCUAAUCGCGAAGGUGACCGUGUGGAACUGACGAGAAGGAGGGACGUGAACUCACGAGUGCAGCUCCUUUGAAAUCUCUUCUAUCCUCUCUUCUGUCCGGCGGUGAUGGUCGAAGAUCCACAGUUCAAUUCGUCGGUAUUGUUGUAGUGCGGCGAGCGGGAAGCAUGGCGUGAGAAGAAGAAGAUAGGCUUUCCGGAAUCCAAAUCGAGGGAACCCCUAAAUAAGACAGUAACCACCUGUUUAUAUAGACUUUGAAACGUGAUUUACAUCUGCAUUUUGGAUCCGCUUGCGUCAUUCAUUGGAUUUUUGAUUGCUUUGCAAAUUCGAAUGUCGUUUACGAGUUAUUACUGCAGUUUAUUUGUUUUUACUUUAUUUUUAAUUAUUUCCACCGUGUUUUGACGCAGCUUGGAGUCGUGAGCUUGGCCUGCGACUUGCGUUUCUCUGUGUUUUUGGAGUUUGAAGCUUGUCUUAUGCAGCUUGCAUUUCUCUGUGUUGUUUUCAUUGGCUUGUGAAUGAGUCGUUCUGCUAUGCAGUUGUUGUAGCUUGGGUUUCCAUCCGUUUUGAUUUCGCAGCUGCCGUUGAUGGCUUUUUGAAUGACAUCGUGAGCUUCGCGUGCAGCUAAUAGUAGUUGAUUUGUCGUUUUGGAUUUCCAUUCAAAUAGCCCACUACAUUUUGAUGUCUAAUGCCGUUUACAGGUUUGCUUGCUGGCGUUUACGUGCUUAUAAUUUCCGUUAACUUCACUGCCAGCUUGUAUUCAAUUUGGUUGCUCAUGGUUGUUGUUAGCUUUAUAACUUGGAUGUUCUUGUGCGCAACGGCUAGGUGCAGCGUUCGAAAUUGGCUUCGCUGAAGCUUGCGUUUGGUUGGUUUGUGGCUUAGCAGCUAUGUUCGUGUUUUUACUGCUAGCUAGCUCGUACUGCAGCUUUUGAAGCUUCACUUUGGACUGUUAUACUGCCACUGCAUUGUCGUUUGGAUUUGGUUCGGUGCAUUUGGAAGUGUAGCUCGUUGUAACAGCUUCGUUGGCUUGUGCGCUGUAAUUGUUUUUCCUGCUGCGUUCUGCAGCUUUUGAAUGUUGUAGCAGCUGCAUUUUGCAGCUUUUGAAGUGUUGGCUGCUAAGCUUUGUUUCACUUUCCACUUGCUUUGUCUCAUUAGGCUAUGUACUUUAAAUGAAUAAUUGAAUUGGCUAAUGG